This is a long non-coding RNA of Salvia miltiorrhiza (redroot sage), 985 nucleotides long. RefSeq lists it as uncharacterized. NCBI's taxonomy places the organism in Eukaryota, Viridiplantae, Streptophyta, Magnoliopsida, Lamiales, Lamiaceae. The record is from RefSeq and is a predicted model, not a curated record. The transcript is spliced from 2 exons.
AUAUAUAUAUAUAUAUAUAUAUAUAGGGUGGGGAUCUACAAAGAAUCCCCUUAGUAUAAAGAAUAAGGAAUUAAUCCUUACCAUAGGAUCUGAAUAAAUUAAUGGUCCAGAUUAGCACUAAUUAAUAAUUAAUCUACAUUAUUUUUUUUACUGAAUACCUUUAAAAAUUAUAUAUAAAAUCGUUGGGGGUAUGUUAGCCAUUUUGUCUAUUCAGAAAACUGUCAAUUCCUAAAUUAACUCCAGUAAAUUAGGACAUUUACUUUCACCCCCACUUUCAUCCACCAAACCAUCUUCCCCCCACUUUCGUCUGCCAAACCCUAGAGGCGACGGCGAUUCUAGUAAACCAGACGGCGCUCCAUCUAUAGCAGACGACGCUUCUGUUUUCGCCGGCGAAAAUCGAAUUUGAGAGAGAUUGUCCUUGAGCAAAGUGGUGGCGAUGCCGCAGGGAAUCGAAAGUGGGCAGCGGCGCCGCCCUCCAAUUUUCGUCGGAUUUCUCCGCAGUAAGGACAACUUGUGCUCCACAACGCCUCUGGCCCGACUACAGCUGGUUCGAAUCGGUCGUCGGCCACAUUUGGUGGUGCACGAGCACGGCGCACCCUGCCGCUCUGUUCUGCUGCCUUCUCGAGUCGACACCGAUUGACCUCGCUGAUGUUUGGGUGCAGUGAAAUAGGGUGAAGAAUGUGGAGAUUCAAGAACUUUUGCUUCUAUUUGGUUGUUCUCGACUUUUGCUGUGUUAGAGCAUUCUUGUACCAUUAAUGAAGAUUGAAUUAUUGUGUUUGAUUAUGUUAGAAAUUGGGUGAGUGAUUAUGAUAUAAUGGGGGAAGUUUACUGAUUGAGGAGGUUUGCAGAGGAACUCAAACAUGAUUGAGGGGGGGUUGAACGAUCGUCUGGGGAAGAAAGUUCGGGUGAAAGUUCAAGUAUUGUUAUUGACUCGUUCUCGUGUUGUAAUAUUCAAUUAAACUUAAAGUAUAUUCAUUAAGUUUCA